Molecule: long non-coding RNA, 1678 nt
Organism: Lagenorhynchus albirostris (white-beaked dolphin)
Lineage: Eukaryota; Metazoa; Chordata; Mammalia; Artiodactyla; Delphinidae
Exons: 2
Source: RefSeq, a predicted model, not a curated record
UCUUUUUUGUGCUGCUCUUUUGAUAAAAAUUUCCCUUUCUUUAUAUUGAUCCUUUCAGAUAUUUUCUGGUGCAGGUUAUCCCCUGCCAUCAGAGUCCUAGAGUGGAAGGAAAGUUUUAUCCUGACUUGUGCUUUGUGUCCUGAAGGUGGCUCGGUCAUUUUGGAACUCCCCCUCAUCUGUCACCAGAUACUGGCUGUGUACGGGCACUGAGGGUACAAAGGCAGAUGGUGGGGUUCUGGUUCCCACCACGGAGGCUCCCCAAAUUGUCCCAUGGACUCCUUGAGAUUCUUGAAAUUGCAUGCAAAUUGUGCAUUUAGAGUAGUUUUAAUCAGAUUGUUAGUGGGAUUGAAACUAAAAAGGGUGGCUGAGCCUGGCACACAUCUGUGUGGCUCCUCACUACUUACCCACCUUCUAGUGGCUCCAGUGGGAGGGAAUCUCAGACGAGUGUUUCUCUUGGCUGAUGGAUGGUCCAGCUGAGCAACUGCACAGUGAUAGUUACCUGAGGAGCUUUCCCCUGUCUGUAUCUACGAGGGGAAGACAAGGUUUGUUCCAUCCUUAAAGAUCUGAGAGACCCAACACAGGAGUCAGAAUUUCAGACAAGUAACGAAAUCAAGCAGAACCAGAGCUGGAACUGCUCCCUACCCCACCCCAAUUCUGGGUACAAAUAUUGCUUGACAGACCUAGAGGACACACAAAGCAAUAGAUUCAAAAGCUAGUUUUUUGGUUGUUUGGUUGUUUUCAGUGGUUUGGGGUGGGGGGUAAGGAGGGGUGGAGGUUAGUGGUACCUUUGGAUUUAGUUAUAGCAGAGAAGCAGGUGGUUCUUGCUGAGUAACAUUCUCCCCUACCCAGUUUGUGGGGGUGCAGGGCCAGGAGUGCUCAGCCCUGCUCAUCCUUUGUACCAACGAUGUGAUGCGGCAGAUAGACUCAGACUGGAGGCACUGGAGGGGCUGUGCUGGGUGCCGGUCUUCUCCACAGCUUGGGGGAUAGGUGGCGUUACCCCCUUUACAGAGGAGGAAGCUGAGGCUCGGGGUUCACUGGCCUGCCUGAGUCCACAGCUUGCUGGGGUGGCAGAACUAGCCUUUGGAUGCAGGUUUUCCUGACUCCAAAGCCCGUGCUCCCAACUUACCUCCUGAAUAUAUCAAUUGGGGUAAAUUUCCUGAAAUGGAAUUGCUGGGUCAGUUUAAAAUGAUGGUUCUAGGGCUUCCCUGGUGGCGCAGUGGUUAAGAAUCUGCCUGCCGGUGGAGGGGACACAGAUUUGAUCCCUGGCCCUGGAAGAUCCCACAUGCCGCAGAGCAACUAAGCCCAUGUGUCACAACUACUGAGCCUGCGCUCUAGAGCCUGCGAGCCACAACUACUGAGCCCUCGUGCCACAACUACUAAAGCCUGCGCACCUAGAGCCCGUACUCUACAACAAGAGAAGCCACCGCAAUGAGAAGCCCACGCACCGCAACGAAGAGUAGCCCCCGCUCACCGCAGCGAGAGAAAGCCCGCGUGCAGCAACGAAGACCCAACACAGCCAAAAAUAAAUAAUCAUAAUAUAAAUAAAUAAAAUGCUGGUGCUUCCACUGGUCUUCAGACGUGUGCUCCAGGAUGUCUGUAGCGCUUGCUCCCCACGCAAGGCGCUGUGCCUUGUGAUUUGGUUCUUUAAAAAGCAUAUCUUGAAUUUAUUUUUCUUCAA